GGAGAAUGCGCAGCCGCAUGGGAUGAGGUGGAGGAGUUGAGUGCUGCUGCUAGCCAUGCCAAGGACAAGAAGAAAGGGUCUGACCCUUUGGAGGAGUAUUGCAAGGACAACCCUGAGACAGACGAGUGCCGCACUUAUGAAGAUUGAAAUGGUUUUUACUUCAUGAACCUUUUUCAAUGAUCAAACUUUAGAUAUGUUUAUUAAUUUUGGUUUAUGUAACGCUGGAGAUGCUGUGUGGUGUCUAUUAUUUAUAUGAUGUUCUAUUAAUUAAUUAGCACAUACUUAUACCCUACCUUCGUCAAAGAUAAAUUUG
This 313-nucleotide long non-coding RNA is filed under the name Populus trichocarpa (black cottonwood). Its description in RNAcentral is "long non-coding RNA (PTRI_LNC000710)". The record is from RNAcentral. Lineage: Eukaryota; Viridiplantae; Streptophyta; Magnoliopsida; Malpighiales; Salicaceae.